GGAAGGGCAAGGGACUCAAGUAUUCUCCCUAACUGUUAACUGCCUGUAAAUCCCCAGGGAGGGGCAGUCCUCGUGGGCCCUCUCUGGCUCCAUGAUAGGUAGUUUCAUGAGCUUAGUUUUGUUUUGUUUUCUAGACAGGAUUUUUCUAUAGCUUUAGAGUCUGUCCUGAGAGUUCAGGAUGCAGCUGACAUGGAUCCAGCGGACCGCUUUCCGCAAAGCCACUUAGACUCUAUGUUGCUUAUUUUUUUUUUCAAAUCAGGUUUUCAGUAACAGUUAUAAUUUUCUACCCCCCAAAAGGAUAAGGUGAGCGGUCCCCCUCCUUUACACCUAAGGGUAGAAGCAUCGACUGCUUGUAAGCAUAAACCUGAGUCACUGCCCUCAGCUCCAAAGUUUCCACAUUCGAGGGAAGAGGACGCUAGACACCAUCUCUUGAAAGAGUCAUGGAAUUUGUGGGUCUAUUUUUCAACUGCCCAAGUGCAGGAAAAGCACCCUUUUCUCUGCCACUUCACUGAUUCCCAGUACUUCUGACACCAGCUGGAGAGGGGGUACACCAAGAAACUUUCUAGCUCUCUGGAGACACCAGCUUUGGGUCCUAGAGUCAGCUGGACUUAGCUCUAGUGCUAACUAGUUAACUAGCUGGAGUUAACUAGUGCCAGCCUGCUCAGAUAAGGGCUCAGCUCUACCGCAGUCCCUGUUCAGAUGGCAGUCACAGUCCAGGUUGUCACUAGAGCGUCCUACCAGCUAGACGGCCACCUCAGGGUGAUUCCUUGCUAGGAUGACUUGGAGCCCAGGAAAACAGUUCCCUUCCUACUGCUGACAAAGAAUUCUGGGGAGCAGUGGACAGCCAGGGGAAGAGGUGCAUAGGACACAUGGACUGAAGCUGACCAUCUCAGGCAUGCAGUUGUGGCUUGUUCUUGCUGAUGACUAACUUUCAUCCAGAAGCCCACCAAAAGUGACCUCAUCCAAACAAAUGGUGCUCCAGCCGCAGUGGAAAUGUCCCGGUGAUUUAGGAGCUCUGUGCAGCAGCUGGGGAGCAGGUACCAAAUAUGUGUUUCCUGACGGGGCACGUUCCCUCAGACAAGAAACUAGAAGCCAUUAUUAACAUUUCAAACCAAAAAGACUAUUUUCAUUUCUUUAGUAUAUAAUGUUAGUGUGUCCUCGUUUAUUACAGUAAAUCGAUUGCACGAAGGAAUGGGCCUCGCUGUGACUUUCUGCUUUAGUUCUUUGCUGACGCUGUGCACCAGCUGUGCACGGUUUGUGCGUGUGGAUGCAGGUGUUCACAGGGUCCACAGGAGGGCAUCACUUCCCCCUGGAGCUGGAGGUAAAGCUGGUUGUGAGCCACCUGGCAUGACUGCUGUGCGCCGAGCUUUGCUCUGGGAAAAAGCAGCACGUGGUCUUUGGUCACCGGACCAUCUCUCCAGCCACUUGGACAACACACUUUGACGGCAUGUGCCUCCUCCACCGCCAUGUCGUCUCUCCUCACCGGAGUUCCUACUCCCCUUCUCCAGAAGUCUGUCUUCUACUUUCGUGUCCCCAAAGGGAUUUUGUCCAAGCCAUUGGUGCCCUUUGUUGAAGGUACUGGGGUUGGCGACAGCUGGUGAGGGACAGUACCUCUAGCUUUCAGUUUCCUUUGUCACAGCUGCUUUCCAGAAUGUCAAGGAGCCGGGGCAUCUUUUGGAACACUGCCAAGGUCACUGUAGUCUCGUGGUCCCCAGGCUGUCGACUGGUGUGGGGGUGUCCAGGUGGCCUCUGGAGCUGCACAUCACGACGGCAGAGGAGGAAUCAGACGGCCACCAUCUCUUCUCUCCCUAAUGCAUCUCACACAAGCGCACAUUACCAGCAACACCUCUGGCCAGGGAGUCAUGAAGUGUCUGCUUCCUGGGUUUCCUGAUCCUGCACAGAAUGAAGUGGCGAUUUCCACUGGGCUGGUCCAACUCUGUACCACACCUCUACAUCCAGGCGUGAUGAGAAAAACCCCACCUUGUACUUGAAAGUACCCUGGUGCCUGCCACGCCCACUUGUACUCGACAAAUGGAUGUUCAAGGCUCUGGAAGAGUAGGGAGGCCCACAAAGAGUUACAUGGUAGAGGCCUAACUGUCAGAGACCCAGUGUCACUCUGGCCAGUCAGCAGGUUCCCUUUAUCAAACUCGGGCUUGCAGCAGGAGCAGCAGCAGUAAGCACCUGUAAUCACAGAACCAUCCGGGUGCCCUGCCCUGGACUUCUUAACCACAUUAUUCCACAAGAACGCAAUAAGUUUCUUUCUUAGCCAACUAUAUAUUGGUUCUUUCUUUCAGUGUGAACUUAUAACCUAAUAAAAGGAAUGAAUUAGCCAUUGCCACAGUAACUCGAUGGAACAAACCAUUCUGAACUGUAGGGGU
Non-coding RNA from Myodes glareolus (Bank vole), 2378 nucleotides. The record is from RefSeq and is a predicted model, not a curated record. Lineage: Eukaryota; Metazoa; Chordata; Mammalia; Rodentia; Cricetidae.